GGGAAGCUCCAUAUCCAAUUCCUCAGUGCCAUUUUUCUGUGCAUCAAGCUUCUCGGCAAAAUCAUCAGGCAAAGAAACACACAUCUUCCUUUGAACAUCCUCUUCAUCUGCUACAAUAACAUACUGAUCUAUAACUUCAUAUUUCCUAGUGACAGGAGGAACCAGACUUGCUUUUGUCAUGCGAGCACCCCAUUCACGAUCAUCUGAU
RNAcentral lists this unclassified non-coding RNA (208 nucleotides) under Hevea brasiliensis (rubber tree). The record is from RNAcentral. Lineage: Eukaryota; Viridiplantae; Streptophyta; Magnoliopsida; Malpighiales; Euphorbiaceae.